UACAGAGGUCUCAAGCGUUGUUCGGAUUCAUUGGGCGUAAAGGGUGUGUAGGUGGCGCGCUAAGUCGGGUGUGAAAUUUCGGAGCUUAACUCCGAAACUGCAUUCGAUACUGGCGUGCUUGAGGACUGGAGAGGAGACUGGAAUCCAUGGUGUAGCAGUGAAAUGCGUAGAGAUGCGGAGGAACACCGAUGGCGAAGGCAGCCCCCUGGGCUAGCACUGACGCUCAGGCACGAAAGCGUGGGGAGCAAACAGG
Molecule: ribosomal RNA, 253 nt
Filed under: uncultured bacterium
Lineage: Bacteria
Description: partial 16S ribosomal RNA
Rfam family: Bacterial small subunit ribosomal RNA
Source: RNAcentral